UGUCGCUGAAGGACAGGGAGCGGCAGCUAGGGUUUCGCAGUGCAAAUAUUCGCGGUGCUGUGGCGGCCGGCGGCCGUCUUCUACUAUCCGCGGCGACUGUUGUCUGCUAUCCACGUGCUGUGGCGGCUGGCCUGUGCUCCUAUCCGCGGUUGCCGAGGUAUGAACUGCUCUACUUUCCCUAUUCGCGGUUGCCUGUGCUCUGCUAUUCGCUCGCUCGCUCGCUCGACCACAGUGCGCUGCGAACUGACGGAACAGGCCUGCUGGAGCCGCACCUUGCCAGAGCAGUGCGCUGUCCAUCACCUUGCCAUCGCACAGGAAAAAAACUGUAACUAGCUAGCAAAGCACGUGUCUGAAUUAAAAAACAUAGAACAGAGAACUAGAGAGUACUCUGUGCGAGCAAAAGAACAUGUUGAACGAAGGUAGUAUGUCGUAGUCAAAAGAUUAUGUAGAGCCUAUGGUAUUGCAUUUUGGUUGAUGGAAAAUGCUGAAACACCUUUGGGCGUUUUAGAUUUUAAUUUUUGAUAGCAUUCCUUUUUGAAGGCGUACCCUCCAGCGCGCUGCAUAUAUUUUUGAUAGCAUUCCAAUCGCAAGAGUACCCUCCAACAGAAUCGCAAUGAACAGAGACAUUAUAGGCAGCAUUCCUUUUUGAUAGGUGCAUAUAUUUGUUUUAGAUUUUAAUUUUUUUACAGCAAUAUGGAUUUUAAUGCCAUUGGGAGGACAUUGGGUGCAAGAUCAAUUGAGCAAACUUGUGACAGCAAGUGAGAAGAGCACAACAUCCGUUGAGUCUUUGGCAAGAAAGGAGGACAUUGGGUGCUCCAUUAGAGAUAUCAUGGCAUUGGUGAAGGAGUGUGGUGCAGUUCUAGGAACAAAAGAACACUUCAUAGCAUCUCAAGUUUUUGUCAAGAGGGCAGAGAGGGAAAUGUUUAUGACUUUGGACACACUGGAAGAACGCUUCAACUGGCUUACAAUGAAACAUGAUUGGGUCACUAGGAUGAUUCACUAGGAUCUGUAAUUUUUUGUAGCACUGCUGUGUUGUACCAUGCGCUUGAAGCUGACGAAGAUUUAUUUCCACACCCCCCUCUAGGUAAACAAAUGUCAAAAAAUUGUUCUACUUUUUGUCCACAUAUUUUUCAAGGUUCUAAUAAUUGUAUGUUACAGGAAAGUACUAUGUUGUUGAUGCUGGAUAUCCAAAUAGGGAUGGGUACUUGGCCUCGUACAAAGGACAACGGUAUCAUGUUCCGGAAUGGAGAAAUGGUCCUCCACCUAAUGGUGAGCAAGAGCUCUUCAAUCAUUUACACUCAAGUCUACGGAAUGUUGUUGAACGCACAUUUGGUGUAUGGAAGAUGAAAUGGAGAAUUCUUCUUAAGAUGCCAACUUAUCCUAUGGACAAACAAAAAAUGAUUGUUGUUGCUACAAUGUGUCUUCACAAUUUCAUCCGUGAGAAUAGUGCAUUGGAUGAGGAUUUUCAGAGAUGUGAUCGAGACCCAGAUUAUAUCCCUACUAUUCCAUCCCGUUAUAGGCGACAUGUCCCUCAGAAUGCAUCAGAUACAUCUACCACAGGGUCGAGUAGUAGGAACAUGAAUAGGUUCUGCGAUGAUGUAUCGAAGGUACUUUGGGAGUCGAGGUGAUUAGAAAAGGUGGUUCGUGUCAUAUUUUGGAUAUCGUGUCGUGCUAGUUUUAUGCAAUUUAUGGAUUAAACAUUUGAGACCAUUUUAUGCACUAAUAUGAUGGGAAUAUUUUAUAUGUUAUUGUUUCAUAUUUUUUCUGUAUAUGCAUCUUACUUAUUGGUUUGUAACAAAGUUGAACUACAAAGGGUAAAACAGACAAUCGCCACAGACCACCAACUUUCAACAUACAAGAAUCAGUUUACUUGUCAAACGGUUUUAAAAAUGAUUCUGAUUCUCUAGGAGAAUCAGGAGGAUCAGCUCCUCAGGAGGAUCAUGAUCUGGAGCUAAAGAAGCUGGAGCUUGUGCAUUGCCAAACGGUUCCUAAAAAUCAGAGAAAUUAUUUAGAAAAUGAUUUCUAGUACUAAAUUAAUUGCAGAAACUUGAUUAAUUCCUAGAAAAUUCAUAUUAAGUCCAAAUUGGUCCAUUCUAGUUCCUAUAAUUUUGUAUUAAUAUUGUCUAUCAAAUGAUAACAUUUUGUCUAUCAAAUGGUAACUUUUUUUAACAUGAAACACAUAAUAAAAUUGAUCACUCAAUUAAUUUUGUACCAAACACGUAAGAACUUCGGAAAAUCAUAUCUCGAAAUCUGUAGCUCUGAAUUUAGUGAUUCUUUUUUCUAUGAUCUCGUUACGAUGCGUAGAUUAUUAUUAUGUAUUUUGUAUUCAUGUUUAGUUUGAUGUUAAUUUCUCCCUUGUAUCAUGCUUGUUAGUAUUGUGGCGAGUAGAAGAGCCAGUGGCUGAGGAGUCAGGUGUUCAGCAGGUAGAAGUUGCUGAGCAGGAGCUCAUUGAAG
RNAcentral lists this long non-coding RNA (2454 nucleotides) under Zea mays. Its description in RNAcentral is "long non-coding RNA (ZMAY_LNC004398)". Lineage: Eukaryota; Viridiplantae; Streptophyta; Magnoliopsida; Poales; Poaceae. The record is from RNAcentral.